RNAcentral lists this long non-coding RNA (1053 nucleotides) under Calidris pygmaea (Spoon-billed sandpiper). Its description in RNAcentral is "lncRNA (ENSCPGG00000009007.1)". The record is from RNAcentral. Lineage: Eukaryota; Metazoa; Chordata; Aves; Charadriiformes; Scolopacidae.
UGGGUACCACUGCGGGUGAUGCUGCUGCCACCCCAGCUGAGUCACUUUAACAUGUCCAGGGAGAACAUGACCCUCUCUGUCCUGCUUUCCAGCCGCUGGAAGCCAUCACCGUGCUGCGGGCAGCCGUGAGAGAGGCAAGAGGGCUCUGGCUUCUCCUGGCACCCCUGCAGCUGCCGAGAGGACGCCCCUGGUUUUGGCAGCCGUCAGCACUGAUUCGGCCAAGAGGACACUGGGUGAGCACCACGGGGCCUGGGACGUGGCAGGGUUUGACAACGCAACGAGGAUGGUGCUGCUGCCUUCAUCUGCAGAGACUCGUCGCCCAGCCAUUGGAAGCAGCUACCAGCCAUCCGACGUCUCGGCCGUGGAGAGGAGAGUUUCGGAUUUCCCCACGGCUGGCACCUCUGUUUCCACAACAGCCACCAAGGGUGGAGGGAGGACGUUGAGGUCUCUGCCAGCCAGCACCAGGCUGGCCAAUGCAGCAGAGGUUUCCACCUCUGGUACCGAAAUCGCCAGCUCCUCGGACCAGACCCAGUCCCCUGGGAUGUCUCUGAGACCCCAGGGUGGUGGUGGCAGAAGUGCCACAGACCCAUUGCUCACGAACUCGCCGCCUGCUUCGGAAAGCGCUUCCACAACCUUUAGCAGCAAUUACGAACCCAAGAGCAUCCCAGCUGCAGAAGAGGCGCCGCUGCACUCAAAUGCCCGUGGUGCUGACAUGCCCAGUGUGGCAGCAGGGACGCCGGGGUCCCCUGCAAACGGCCGCACAGACGGGGUGACAAGGGGCUCUGCCACCAGCACCGACCCCACCAGCUCUUGGAGAGAGACCUUCUCCUCCCCGGAGGCUGGAACACACCGUCCUAAUGGCUCCCGGGAAGCCACCCAUCUCCCAGCGCCUCCUGGGGAGCCUUUGCUCACAAGCUCGGUCUCUGCCUCCCAAAAUACUUCCAGAGGUAAAUUUGUUAGGCUGAAAGUUGGCUGCUUUGGGGCUGGAGGAGAUUUCGUGUCCCCGCGCUGUUUUUCUUUAGAUACGGCCGUCAGUCGCUAUUGGAUACGUGG